RNAcentral lists this ribosomal RNA (1377 nucleotides) under Cryptops weberi. RNAcentral describes it as "eukaryotic LSU rRNA". It matches the Rfam family "Eukaryotic large subunit ribosomal RNA", at positions 720 to 1862 of the family's 3401-position model. The record is from RNAcentral. Lineage: Eukaryota; Metazoa; Arthropoda; Chilopoda; Scolopendromorpha; Cryptopidae.
UGAAAGUGAAAGCCGUGGCACCCUAGGGUGCCCGGUAAAAGCGGGAUCCGCAAAAUUUAUAUCAAGGGCGAGUCAGGUUGCUAGAAAGCCCUGCGGCGCACCGCUGGCCCGUCUCGACCGCAACGUCGGUGAGGCGGAGCUUGAGCGUACACGUUGGGACCCGAAAGAUGGUGAACUAUGCUUGGGCAGGACGAAGCCAGAGGAAACUCUGGUGGAGGUCCGUAGCGAUUCUGACGUGCAAAUCGAUCGUCAGACCUGAGUAUAGGGGCGAAAGACUAAUCGAACCAUCUAGUAGCUGGUUCCCUCCGAAGUUUCCCUCAGGAUAGCUGGCACUCGGUGAGGAACGCAGUCUCAUCCGGUAAAGCGAAUGAUUAGAGGCCUUGGGGCCGAAACGACCUCAACCUAUUCUCAAACUUUCAAUGGGUGAGAAGUCCGGCAUGCUUGACUGAAGCCCGGACGGCACCAUGGCAAAAGCAGGUGCGAAUGGAAUAGGAACGGCAAGCGGACGAGGGUUGUCUUCGGGCAGCUCCGUUCCGACUUUGCCGCAAGAGGAUGCGAGUGCCCAGUGGGCCAAUUUUGGUAAGCAGAACUGGCGCUGUGGGAUGAACCAAACGCUGGGUUACGGCGCCCGAUGCGGACGCUUAUCAGACCCCAUGAAAGGUGUUGGUUGCUAUAGACAGCAGGACGGUGGCCAUGGAAGUCGGAAUCCGCUAAGGAGUGUGUAACAACUCACCUGCCGAAGCAACUAGCCCUGAAAAUGGAUGGCGCUCCAGCGUCGAGCCCAUACCCAGCCGCUGGUGGCAAAGAGAACGGGAAAGGACCGAGAGUCCUCCGGAUGGAAGGCCCCAGCGAGUAGGAGGGUCGCAGCGGUAAGCGUUGAAGGUGUCGGGCGUGGGCCCGCCUGGAGCUUCCGCUGGUGCAGAUCUUGGUGGUAGUAGCAAAUACUCGAGUGAGAACCUUGAGGACUGAAGUGGAGAAGGGUUCCAUGUGAACAGCAGUUGAACAUGGGUCAGUCGGCCCUAAGGAAUAGGGGAAACCCGUUCCGAAUCGGGAGGUGGAGACAAUAAUAAAGAAUGAAAACCCCCGAAAGAUCGAAAGGGAAUCGGGUUAAUAUUCCCGAACCCGGAUGCAGAGAUCGGCCCUCAGGGGCCCAAUGCGGUAACGCAAACGAACUCGGAGACGUCGGCGGGAGUCCCGGGAAGAGUUGUCUUUUCUUUGUAAGGGACGGACUCCCUGGAAUCGGCUUGCCCGGAGAGAGGGAUGUUGUUCCCGUAAAGCACCGCGGCUCUUGCGGUGUCCGGAGCACUCUCGCCGACCCUUGAAAAUCCGAGGGAGUGGAAAUGAUUUUGCACCGGACCGUACCCAUAUCCGCAGCAG